GCUGGGCAUGGUGGUGCAUGCCUGCAACUCCAGUGACUCAGAAGGCUGAGGCAGGAGGAUUGCAAGUUGGAGGCCAGCUUCAGCAACUUAGCAAGACCCUGUCUCAA
Molecule: small RNA, 107 nt
Filed under: Marmota monax (woodchuck)
Lineage: Eukaryota; Metazoa; Chordata; Mammalia; Rodentia; Sciuridae
Source: RNAcentral